AGGAUAAACGCUGGCGGCGUGCCUAACACAUGCAAGUCGAACGCGCUUGCUAUCCGCGAGGACGGUGAGCGAGUGGCGGACGGGUGAGGAACACGUGGGUGACCUACCUUUCAGUGAGGGAUACCGGCGAGAAAUUGCCGACAAGACCGCAUACGCUUCUCUUUUCAAGGGGAGAAGGAAAGCUUUUCGCAAGAGAGGCGCUGGGAGAUGGGCCUGCGGCCGAUUAGCUAGCUGGUGGGGUAAUGGCCUACCAGGGCGACGAUCGGUAGCUGGUCUGAGAGGACGAUCAGCCACACUGGGAUUGAGAACGGCCCAGACUCCUACGGGGGGCAGCAGUGAGGAAUUUUCGGCAAUGGGGGCAACCCUGACCGAGCAACGCCGCGUGCAGGACGACGGCCUUCGGGUUGUAAACUGCUUUUCUCUGGGACGAGCAAGGACGGUACCAGAGGAAGAGCCCGGCUAACUACGUGCCAGCAGCCGCGGU
Molecule: ribosomal RNA, 484 nt
Filed under: uncultured bacterium
Lineage: Bacteria
Description: SSU rRNA
Rfam family: Bacterial small subunit ribosomal RNA
Source: RNAcentral